AAUGUUGGAUUAACAAAAUAGUUCAACUAAAACCUCGUGAAAACGGUGGAACUCUUAGAAAAGACAAUACCGUGCCAAGACUAGAAAUAGUAAGGUGUAACGACUAUCGAAAGCACAUAAUAAAUGUUAUGAAAGUGAGUAGAGUACAAUCAAGUGAUUGGAAGUGCGAGGGAACGAUUAUAUCGUUCAAGAGAUAGUCUACUCUUUAUAGUGAUAUAAAG
This 221-nucleotide non-coding RNA is filed under the name Catenibacterium mitsuokai DSM 15897. RNAcentral describes it as "group I catalytic intron". It matches the Rfam family "Group I catalytic intron". Rfam says of the family: Group I catalytic introns are large self-splicing ribozymes. They catalyse their own excision from mRNA, tRNA and rRNA precursors in a wide range of organisms. Lineage: Bacteria; Bacillati; Bacillota; Erysipelotrichia; Erysipelotrichales; Coprobacillaceae. The record is from RNAcentral.